Molecule: ribosomal RNA, 250 nt
Filed under: uncultured bacterium
Lineage: Bacteria
Description: partial 16S ribosomal RNA
Rfam family: Bacterial small subunit ribosomal RNA
Source: RNAcentral
GGGUGAGUAACGCGUGAUUAAUCUACCUCCGGGAGAGGGAUAGCCAUUCGAAAGGAUGAGUAAUACCUCAUAAGACUCCGUUAUCGCAUGGUAACGUAGUAAAAGGGUUGGGAUCUUCGGACCUUCCGCCUAGAGAUGAAAUCGCGUCCUAUUAGCUUGUUGGUGAGGUAACGGCUCACCAAGGCUUUGAUGGGUAGCCGGCCUGAGAGGGUGGACGGCCACACUGGAACUGAGACACGGUCCAGACUCC